UGAAUUGGAUUUUUUUGCAAUAAAGUUAAGGCUUGUACUCUUGAUUUUUUUGUGAAAUUAGAUAAACAUAUGCAGUUGAAUUUUUAGAGGUGUUUGGAUGGUUGAGUAUGCCAAGUGCAUGCAAAAAUUUGUGUUAAUCUAACGGUAUGGAUAGAGGAUAUUUAAUCAUUAGUAUAAAGAGGUAUCAGAAGUAGGAAGAUUGGAGUUGUUUAAGAUUUUUGUAAUAUCUGGAGAUCUAUCAGCUGGAAUAAAGUGAAUUUUGACGUGGUAAGUUGAAGACUUAAAGGUGGAGCUAGAUACAAGGUUUGAAU
This 311-nucleotide long non-coding RNA is filed under the name Physcomitrium patens. RNAcentral describes it as "long non-coding RNA (PPAT_LNC012953)". The record is from RNAcentral. Lineage: Eukaryota; Viridiplantae; Streptophyta; Bryopsida; Funariales; Funariaceae.